AAAGAAACCAACAGGGAUUGCCUUAGUAGCGGCGAGUGAAGCGGCAAAAGCUCAAAUUUGAAAUCUGGCUCUUUCAGAGUCCGAGUUGUAAUUUGAAGAAGGUAUCUUUGGGUCUGGCUCUUGUCUAUGUUUCUUGGAACAGAACGUCACAGAGGGUGAGAAUCCCGUGCGAUGAGAUGAUCCAGGCCUAUGUAAAGUUCCUUCGAAGAGUCGAGUUGUUUGGGAAUGCAGCUCUAAGUGGGUGGUAAAUUCCAUCUAAAGCUAAAUAUUGGCGAGAGACCGAUAGCGAACAAGUACAGUGAUGGAAAGAUGAAAAGAACUUUGAAAAGAGAGUGAAAAAGUACGUGAAAUUGUUGAAAGGGAAGGGCUUGAGAUCAGACUUGGUAUUUUGUAUGUUACUUCUUCGGGGGUGGCCUCUACAGUUUAUCGGGCCAGCAUCAGUUUGGGCGGUAGGAGAAUUGCGUUGGAAUGUGGCACGGCUUCGGUUGUGUGUUAUAGCCUUCGUCGAUACUGCCAGCCUAGACUGAGGACUGCGG
Molecule: ribosomal RNA, 536 nt
Filed under: Caulerpa taxifolia
Lineage: Eukaryota; Viridiplantae; Chlorophyta; Ulvophyceae; Bryopsidales; Caulerpaceae
Description: partial large subunit ribosomal RNA
Rfam family: Eukaryotic large subunit ribosomal RNA
Source: RNAcentral